GGGAAUGUAGCUCAGUGGUAGAGUGCUUACCUAGCAUGCAUGAGGCCCUGGGUUCUAUCCCCAGUACUA
This 69-nucleotide transfer RNA is filed under the name Heterocephalus glaber (naked mole-rat). It matches the Rfam family "tRNA". Rfam says of the family: Transfer RNA (tRNA) molecules are approximately 80 nucleotides in length. Their secondary structure includes four short double-helical elements and three loops (D, anti-codon, and T loops). The record is from Rfam by way of RNAcentral. Lineage: Eukaryota; Metazoa; Chordata; Mammalia; Rodentia; Bathyergidae.